Acanthosepion pharaonis is the source of this 107-nucleotide non-coding RNA. Lineage: Eukaryota; Metazoa; Mollusca; Cephalopoda; Sepiida; Sepiidae. The record is from the annotation of a GenBank genome assembly.
UUACGGCCAUAUCACGCUGAAACACCGGUUCCCGUACGAUCACCGAAGUUAAGUAACGUCGAGCCUGGUUAUAUGGGUGACUGCUUGGCAAUACCAGGUGCUGUAUG